GCGGCGUGCCUAAUACAUGCAAGUCGAACGAACUCUGGUAUUGAUUGGUGCUUGCAUCAUGAUUUACAUUUGAGUGAGUGGCGAACUGGUGAGUAACACGUGGGAAACCUGCCCAGAAGCGGGGGAUAACACCUGGAAACAGAUGCUAAUACCGCAUAACAACUUGGACCGCAUGGUCCGAGCUUGAAAGAUGGCUUCGGCUAUCACUUUUGGAUGGUCCCGCGGCGUAUUAGCUAGAUGGUGGGGUAACGGCUCACCAUGGCAAUGAUACGUAGCCGACCUGAGAGGGUAAUCGGCCACAUUGGGACUGAGACACGGCCCAAACUCCUACGGGAGGCAGCAGUAGGGAAUCUUCCACAAUGGACGAAAGUCUGAUGGAGCAACGCCGCGUGAGUGAAGAAGGGUUUCGGCUCGUAAAACUCUGUUGUUAAAGAAGAACAUAUCUGAGAGUAACUGCUCAGGUAUUGACGGUAUUUAACCAGAAAGCCACGGCUAACUACGUGCCAGCAGCCGCGGUAAUACGUAGGUGGCAAGCGUUGUCCGGAUUUAUUGGGCGUAAAGCGAGCGCAGGCGGUUUUUUAAGUCUGAUGUGAAAGCCUUCGGCUCAACCGAAGAAGUGCAUCGGAAACUGGGAAACUUGAGUGCAGAAGAGGACAGUGGAACUCCAUGUGUAGCGGUGAAAUGCGUAGAUAUAUGGAAGAACACCAGUGGCGAAGGCGGCUGUCUGGUCUGUAACUGACGCUGAGGCUCGAAAGUAUGGGUAGCAAACAGGAUUAGAUACCCUGGUAGUCCAUACCGUAAACGAUGAAUGCUAAGUGUUGGAGGGUUUCCGCCCUUCAGUGCUGCAGCUAACGCAUUAAGCAUUCCGCCUGGGGAGUACGGCCGCAAGGCUGAAACUCAAAGGAAUUGACGGGGGCCUGCACAAGCGGUGGAGCAUGUGGUUUAAUUCGAAGCUACGCGAAGAACCUUACCAGGUCUUGACAUACUAUGCAAAUCUAAGAGAUUAGACGUUCCCUUCGGGGACAUGGAUACAGGUGGUGCAUGGUUGUCGUCAGCUCGUGUCGUGAGAUGUUGGGUUAAGUCCCGCAACGAGCGCAACCCUUAUUAUCAGUUGCCAGCAUUAAGUUGGGCACUCUGGUGAGACUGCCGGUGACAAACCGGAGGAAGGUGGGGAUGACGUCAAAUCAUCAUGCCCCUUAUGACCUGGGCUACACACGUGCUACAAUGGAUGGUACAACGAGUUGCGAACUCGCGAGAGUGAGCUAAUCUCUUAAAGCCAUUCUCAGUUCGGAUUGUAGGCUGCAACUCGCCUACAUGAAGUCGGAAUCGCUAGUAAUCGCGGAUCAGCAUGCCGCGGUGAAUACGUUCCCGGGCCUUGUACACACCGCCCGUCACACCAUGAGAGUUUGUAACACCCAAAGUCGGUGGGGUAACCUUUUAGGAACCAGCCGCCUAAGGUGGGACAGAUGAUUAGGGUGAAAU
This 1482-nucleotide ribosomal RNA is filed under the name uncultured organism. Its description in RNAcentral is "partial small subunit ribosomal RNA". It matches the Rfam family "Bacterial small subunit ribosomal RNA". The record is from RNAcentral.